This 5245-nucleotide long non-coding RNA is filed under the name Pan troglodytes (chimpanzee). RNAcentral describes it as "long non-coding RNA NONPTRT005731". The record is from RNAcentral. Lineage: Eukaryota; Metazoa; Chordata; Mammalia; Primates; Hominidae.
GGAGGUUGCAGUGAGCCAAGAUGGCGCCACUACACUCCAGCCUGGGUGACAGAGUGAGACUCAGUUCCAAAAAAAAAAAGUUAAGAUGAAGAAACAGAGAGUAACUGUGCAGUGGAGACACCUGACCCACGCUGCCCCAGCCGGGUGAUCCAGGCCGCAUCACGGUGAGAAGUCACGUGGCCAGUGUGUCCUCUUGAUGUGAGACAAUAAGAAUGGCACUUUCCUUCUGCAGUCUUCCUCCCAAAACCCACAACCCCAGGCUUACCCUGGGAAAAACAUCAGACGAAUCCCAACAGAGGGGCAUCCUGUAAAACAAAAACACCCGACCAGUGCUCCCCAAAACCCUUCAGGUCAUCAGAAACAAAGUCUGAGAAAUCGCCACAGCCAGGAGGAGCCUAAGCCUACUGAAUGCGACGUGGAGCAAAUAGAGGACAUAACAGAUUAAAUACUAAGAAAACCUGAGUACCGUAUCAAUGUGGGUUUGUUCAUUGUAACAAAUGAUACUAGUGUAUGAUGUUAAUGAUGGGCAGCCGGGCACAAGGGAUACAGGGAACUCUGCACCUGCUUCACUAUUUUUUGGUCAAUAUAAAACUGUUCUAAAAAAUAAAGUUUAUUUUUUUAAAAAGAGCUGGGUGAAGUUGUGGCAAAUAGUUGAAAUAGUUGUACAAACACACCCCAGCAAGAGAGCAAGGGAGUGAAAAGCGUUUUUUUGUUUUGUUUUGUUUUGUUUUAGAGACAGUCUUGCUCUGUGGCCCAGGCUGGAGUGCAGUGGUGUCAUUACAGCUCAUUGCAGCCUCAAACUUCUGGCCUCAAGCAGUCCUCCUGCCUCAGCCUUCCAAAGCACUGGGAUUACAGGUGUGAGCCAUCGCGCCAGGCCAGGUGUUGUAUUUAAACUGGGACCCUAACACAUUUCAUUGGUAAAUGUCAAUUUUUCAGGCAGCAUAUGUGAAUUCAGUUUGGAAAUGUCUUCAUUAUACUCUGAGAAUUCCAGCAAGGAGACAGCAAGAGUUUGUCACAAGGAAUACUAGACUGUCCUGGAAUGGGGUUGGGGGCUGCCAUUGAGACAGCUGAGGGGAGCCAGGUCUGUGCCUGCAGUAUAAAAUACCCCAUGCAUAAUCUGAUCAAUGUUUUUGCUGAGUGCUAAGUGCCAUGAGUAGGAAAAAGGAGGCUCAACGUGAUGGGCUGGAAAAGAACAGUGUUCACAGUUAGGACACCUGGUUCUAUGCCCCCCUGGACUAGCUGUGUGCCCCCAAGGUGAGCUGCCACUGCUCAGUUUUCUUAUUUGUAAAAUGGGUGUGUGGGGCAGGUGUGGUGGGGCUGGUGGACUUCGGGGUCCACACCCAUUAGUUGCUACCCAUCAUGUGUCAGGCUUUAGGCUACGAUCUCAUCACCAUCCUUCAAGGAUUCUAUUACUACACCCAUUUUUCAGAUUAGGAAAACCAAGGCCCAUAGAUGUCCCAUUAAUGCCCAAAGCCACAAGGCCAGUAAGUGUUCUAAAGAGAGACACACCUGGGUUCGAAGCCAGCUCAAAGUCUAUUUAGAACCAAGUCUAUUCUCAACCAUUCCAUGGGCUGCUGUCUCCAAGGGUCUAGCCAUCUCUGACAUUCCAGGGCCCACAGUCUCAUUUCCUCCAGGGUAUCUGUUACCCAGUCAAGUCUCAAACCAGGUCUGAAAAUACAGCUGCAAGUGAGGCAUCUGUCUGCUUCGCUCUGUGGAGUGGGCACCACCGACUCCAGGAGAGCAGCCCUCCUGGUCCCUCUGGCCAGGCAGCCCCCCACCCUCCCCGGUGGCCCCACUGGGAGUCCAGCCUGUCUGGCCCUUUCUGCUGUCUUAACUAAGAUGACAGGCUUCAGGUGUUUUUUAAAUUAAAAUGGUUCGUUUCUGUUCAUCUCUUUUCCAGAUGUCGCUACCUAGAGGGAAUCUGUCUUUAUUUAUUGGCUCUUUCCUGUGCAGAAUGCAAGGGAGUCUCCCUCCGGCUGAGACCCCCGGGAAGGAGGCCACAUGUGGAGGUGACUUGAACCAGGACGGCAGGAACCUGGGGUCCCCGGGGGGCUCCGGACAGAGGUCAUGGUGGAAACCCUGGGAGGUGGGGUUGCCGUUAGGAUUUUCUCCUGGCCACGUGGCGCAUGUGUGGCUGAGGUGAGGUAUGCGGCAGGGUCAGCGCGUUCCCCGCUGGGCUGGGAGGCUGCGAAUUUAUGAGGGGCGGAUGCAGCCCUGUGUCCGUGUCUUUCACGUUGCCAACUGCAGUGAAUAGAGCAUUUGUUUUCCUAUUCAACAGCAGAAUGAGAACUGCCUGAUCGGCUUCCAGUCGCUUUUCUGGAUGACACCCUGCACUUUACUUUCCCCACUUCCCUGCAGCCCCCUCUGCCUAAAGCCCAGCUUCUCUCACCUUCUUCUCCAGCCUCUGUCCCCAGUCUUCCUGUCUCCACCCUGCCCUCUCCAUCCAGCCUCCAACGGCAGCCGGAAGGCUCCAUCAACAACUCACAUCUGAGCAGAUCCCCCAGUCCUGCUUUUAAUCCUUCAGGCUUCCUCUGUCCCAGCAGGAUAAAGCCCAAACUCUCUGGUCAGCCACAGAGCCCCUUCCCAAGCCUGUCCCCAAUCCUACUGCCUCCCUCUGCUCACCCUCUAAAUGGCCCCGAACCCCCGGGGCACUGCACCCACUCGCACACCCCACACUGUUCCCUCUGCCUGGCAGCCUUCUCCCCAGGGCUCUGCUCCACAUCAGCUCCUCUGGAAAGCUUUCCCCAUCCUGGCCUGCAGAGCCCGGGACGUGCCCGUGUGAUACAGGCAUUGCACCAGAUUUCCACUGCCUAUUUAUGGGCUGCCAAACCCCCUGAGUCACCCAGAGCCCCGUGAGGACGAGGGUCACACCCUGUCCUAGGCGGCAUCCGCAUGCCCGGCACAAGCCCAGCACAGAGCAGCUCUGGACGGUGCUGGCUGACCACGCGAUAUGGCAAGAGAAUGAAUGAAGCUGAUGCCAGCUCCUCAGGAAGGGAAUGCUUCUCUUCCUAGUCUAGGAUUCCAUAGCCUGCCCUGCUCUCGGGACACCUUGGACAACAUGCCCCUGAGGGCCAUGUCCCCUGAUGACCCCUCUUGUCACGCAUAGGCAUUCUGUGCGAAACGAAAGGUCAUAGUGUUCCCAAAGCAGAUAAAAAGAUUGGUUUCCUGACAGACAUUCCGAGGGGAUGAUUCUGAAGACACUGUGUGCGUGUUCCUGUGGGGACAUUUCCCAGGAUCACUUUGUUGUGACAUUCCACAGACGUGUCCCCCACCCCAAAACUGUGAGAGGCUGGGGUUGGUCGAGGAGCCAAGAGGUACAGUGAAUAUGCAUUUACCAAGACCCGCAACAGAAUACACAUUUACCAAGACCCACGACAUACACUGAAUACACAUUUACCAAGACCCACGACAUACACUGAAUACACAUUGACCAAGACCUACAACAUGCAGAGUGCUGGCUGGGGCCGGAUGUGAGUUGGACUAAGGCUUGCCUUCAGGGGGCAUCUAGUUCAGUGGGAAGAGCUGCCCCAGGCGUAAAGGAGCACUGACCAUGGCAGUGAGUGCCCAGUGCCCUGUGAAUGUGGACAAGUGAGGGCUGCUGCAGGGCUAGGGGAGGAGGUGCAGAGGCUACUGGCGGGGGGAGCAUGCUCUGUAGAGAGGCCAGGACUUGAAUUAGACAGACAGAGCUUGCAAGGGGCGGGGAUUCAGGCAAGGGGCACAGCGCAACCAAAACCCAAGAGGUGGCAUGGCACAGGGCUUGUCAAAAUGACAGGUGACUCCACUUGGCACAGUCGGGGUGUCUAUGCACCAGACACAUGAGAGAGGAGGUCGAUGGGACGGGCAGACACAUAGUGGGCCUGUACGCCACGUGAGACCUCAACCCUGAGACCACCUUGGAGACUGCCUGGGCACCCAGCAAUGGGGGAGGAAUAGGGAGCCCAGGGGUGCCCAUCCUCACUGCACUGCAAGCCAGAAGGGCUCAGUGCCCACAUCAAUAUGCGGCACGGGCAUUCCUCCACUUUCACUGGCAGGACAUGGGCUGAAAGACAGCCCGUGAAGAACUCGCCUGGCCCUGGGCACAGAGAGCCACAGGCUUAGCGUCUCUGGCUUGCGCAGCUGGGGGCAGUGGCCCUGUCCUCUCCCCAGAAUCCAUCGGGCAGAAUGGGAAUGACCAUGCAUGUCAUUUGGACCAUCCCCCGCAUUCCCACCACCUUGCCAGUCCCCUCAGUAGCAUUCCCACCUUACAUCCUGGGACCGGACCCUUCCCUGAACACCGAGCUGCGCUUCUACAGAGCUCUCAGCCUUGCUGCGGGAUCCAGCAGCCACCCACUCCUGAGUACCCCAAUCCCCCUCCUCUGAACUCCUCUGUCCCACUCACAUGGGAGCAGCCACCUCAUCUUACAGAGGGAGGAACUGAGGGCAGAGGGGUGGCCCGACUUGGCCGGAGUCCGGCGGGGUGGGAGCAGCAGGGCUAGGCCUUGAAUGCAGGUCUCUGGAUUCCCGACAGGGUGCCCCCGGCCCAGCUGCCAGUCCCCCUUGCCUCUGCUGAGCCCAUCCUUGCAGGGCCCACCACCUGCCUCUCUGAGUCUGCAUCACAUCUCCUGGAGGGUAGAGAGCACCGCUAGCACCUUUCUGGGGCCCUGGGCGUCCCGCGUGGCAAUGGGCAUACCAUGGUGCCCAGCAACCCUCAGCAGACAGAAUUAGCCACUGGCUUUAGAGACCGACCAUGUCUCCGAGAAGACUCUGAUGAACUGAGGGGGCGACUUGGCAGACUCAGGUUGGGGAGCUGAAGAGUCACUGUGCUACAGUGGAAAGAACCCUGGCCUGGGAGUCAGGGUUGAGUCCAUGCCUGGCUGGGCUAUACAUCAGUGACCCUGGAGAUGUGUCCCCUUCUCUGGGCUUCAGGUUCCCCAUGAGUCCAACAAGGGGGCUGGAGGAACUCCCUGACCUCUGGUGCCCCUGCAGCUCUAGCAACCCAUAGCUUUAGGCACUACCAGUGUCCCCAGCAAGACCACGGACAGAGCCGAAAGUGGCAGUGCAUUACCCCUUGCUCCUGACAGAUCUGCGUCAGCCUCUCCAGCUGCUCGUCUUGGAUGACCUUGGCCUUCUCAUACUGCUGGAUAACCAUCUCCAUCUCCAGCUUCACUGGCAGGACGUAGGCUGGAAGACAGAGACAGCCCUGUAAAGAAUUCAGCAGUGGCAGGGCUUGGACUGGGGAAGGGCGGGCCCAGCAUUCAGGCAGCAG